GAGGAAAGAGGGGGGCGUGCUUAACACAUGCAAGUCGAACGGGAAACCUUUUAUUGAAGCUUCGGCAGAUUUAGCUGGUUUCUAGUGGCGGACGGGUGAGUAACGCGUGGGUAACCUGCCUUAUACAGGGGGAUAACAGUCAGAAAUGGCUGCUAAUACCGCAUAAGCGCACAGAGCUGCAUGGCUCAGUGUGAAAAACUCCGGUGGUAUAAGAUGGACCCGCGUUGGAUUAGCUGGUUGGUGGGGUAACGGCCCACCAAGGCGACGAUCCAUAGCCGGCCUGAGAGGGUGAACGGCCACAUUGGGACUGAGACACGGCCCAGACUCCUACGGGAGGCAGCAGUGGGGAAUAUUGCACAAUGGGGGAAACCCUGAUGCAGCGACGCCGCGUGAAGGAAGAAGUAUCUCGGUAUGUAAACUUCUAUCAGCAGGGAAGAUAAUGACGGUACCUGACGAAGAAGCCCCGGCUAACUACGUG
Molecule: ribosomal RNA, 478 nt
Filed under: uncultured bacterium
Lineage: Bacteria
Description: partial 16S ribosomal RNA
Rfam family: Bacterial small subunit ribosomal RNA
Source: RNAcentral